This 468-nucleotide ribosomal RNA is filed under the name uncultured bacterium. Its description in RNAcentral is "partial 16S ribosomal RNA". It matches the Rfam family "Bacterial small subunit ribosomal RNA", at positions 28 to 507 of the family's 1533-position model. The record is from RNAcentral.
GACGAACGCUGGCGGCGUGCUUAACACAUGCAAGUCGAACGGAAAGGCCCUGCUUUUGUUGGGUGCUCGAGUGGCGAACGGGUGAGUAACACGUGAGUAACCUGCCCUUGACUUUGGGAUAACUUCAGGAAACUGGGGCUAAUACCGGAUAGGAGCUCCUGCUGCAUGGUGGGGGUUGGAAAGUUUCGGCGGUUGGGGAUGGACUCGCGGCUUAUCAGCUUGUUGGUGGGGUAGUGGCUUACCAAGGCUUUGACGGGUAGCCGGCCUGAGAGGGUGACCGGCCACAUUGGGACUGAGAUACGGCCCAGACUCCUACGGGAGGCAGCAGUGGGGAAUAUUGCACGAUGGGCGGAAGCCUGAUGCAGCAACGCCGCGUGCGGGAUGACGGCCUUCGGGUUGUAAACCGCUUUCGCCUGUGACGAAGCGUGAGUGACGGUAAUGGGUAAAGAAGCACCGGCUAACUACGUG